AUGGCUUCUUAUCCUUUUGGCUAAGGUUAAGUAUGGCAUCUGUUCAUUUUAGUUUAAUAUCUAAUAAACCCUCUAUCAAGUACGAUAUAUGAAAUGGAUUUUUGGAGCAGAGAGAUGGAAUAGGAAUUUGUUUCCUCCACUCCAAACAUCCCUCUGUUAUUGCAGUACCUCCAGAAAUGGUGCACAAAAA
This is a small nuclear RNA of Dipodomys spectabilis (banner-tailed kangaroo rat), 190 nucleotides long. RefSeq annotates it as U2 spliceosomal RNA. The record is from RefSeq and is a predicted model, not a curated record. NCBI's taxonomy places the organism in Eukaryota, Metazoa, Chordata, Mammalia, Rodentia, Heteromyidae. The transcript has a single exon.